GGGGAUUUAGCUCAGUGGUAGAGCGUUUGCCUAGCAAGCACAAGGCCCUGGGUUCGGUCCCCAGCUCA
RNAcentral lists this transfer RNA (68 nucleotides) under Rattus norvegicus (Norway rat). It matches the Rfam family "tRNA". Rfam says of the family: Transfer RNA (tRNA) molecules are approximately 80 nucleotides in length. The record is from Rfam by way of RNAcentral. Lineage: Eukaryota; Metazoa; Chordata; Mammalia; Rodentia; Muridae.